CCUACGGGAGGCAGCAGUGAGGAAUAUUGGUCAAUGGGCGAGAGCCUGAACCAGCCAAGUCGCGUGAGGGAGUACUGCCCUAUGGGUUGUAAACCUCUUUUGUAGGGGAGCAAAAGCCGGACGUGUCCGGUUGUGAGAGUACCCGAAGAAAAAGCAUCCGCUAACUCCGUGCCAAGCGCCGCGUUAUCACGGAGGAUGCGAUGGUUAUUCGGUUUUUUUGGGUUUAAAGGGGACGCGGGCGGUCUGUUAAGUUAGCGGUAAAAGCCCGGGGCUCAACCCCGUCCCGCCGUUGAAACUGGCAGUCUCGAGUUGGAGAGAGGUAUGCGGAAUGCGCGGUGUAGCGGUGAAAUGCAUAGAUAUCGCGCAGAACUCCGAUUGCGAAGGCAGCAUGCCGGCUCCACACUGACGCUGAGGCACGAAAGCGUGGGUAUCGAACAGGAUUAGAUACCCCUGUAGUC
RNAcentral lists this ribosomal RNA (458 nucleotides) under uncultured bacterium. Its description in RNAcentral is "partial 16S ribosomal RNA". It matches the Rfam family "Bacterial small subunit ribosomal RNA", at positions 338 to 795 of the family's 1533-position model. The record is from RNAcentral.